AGAGUUUGAUCAUGGCUCAGGAUGAACGCUGGCGGCGUGCUUAACACAUGCAAGUCGAACGAGAGAAGAUUAGUGCUUGCGCUGAUCCGAUCGAGUGGCGGACGGGUGAGUAACGCGUGGGUAACCUGCCUCAUACAGGGGAAUAACAGUUGGAAACGGCUGCUAAAACCGCAUAAGCGCACAGUAUCGCAUGAUACAGUGUGAAAAACUCCGGUGGUAUGAGAUGGACCGCGUCUGAUUAGCUAGUUGGUGAGGUAACGGCCACCAAGGCAACGAUCAGUAGCCGGCCUGAGAGGGUGAACGGCCACAUUGGGACUGAGACACGGCCCAAACUCCGUACGGGAGCGA
RNAcentral lists this ribosomal RNA (348 nucleotides) under uncultured bacterium. RNAcentral's name for it is "bacterial SSU rRNA". It matches the Rfam family "Bacterial small subunit ribosomal RNA", at positions 8 to 350 of the family's 1533-position model. The record is from RNAcentral.